UCUCCGUAGGUGAACCUGCGGAAGGACCAUUAUUGUAUAACCGAGGUGCGAGGGCUGUCGCUGACCCGAAAGGUCGUGCACGCCCGAGUGCCCUCACACACAUCCAUCUCACCCCUAUGUGCACCACCGCGUGGGUCCCCCUUUGGCUUGUCGGGGGGGGGCCUUCCUUUUUCACACAACUUUGGUAUGCAUUGAAGAUGGUUUUUUUUGUUUUUGCGUUACGGCAUUAAAACCAACUUUCAACAACGGAUCCUUUGCCUCUCGCAUCGAUAAAAAAGC
This 279-nucleotide unclassified non-coding RNA is filed under the name plant metagenome. RNAcentral describes it as "partial contains small subunit ribosomal RNA, internal transcribed spacer 1, and 5.8S ribosomal RNA". The record is from RNAcentral.